UCCAAAAACAUUAUAUAUUCCCUUGAUAUAUAUUGUGCAAGAAAGCAAAGAUGGUGAGAAAGGAAACUAUGUUGGUUGCUUUCACUUGCCUCCUUGUGGUGGCAUCCAUUGCUGUGAGUGCAAAUGCAACAGCAGCUCCUCGUCUGCUGGCAACCGAGCAAGUGUAUUAUCCUCAAGGUUGUCGCUGCUGCUUGUUUGUCGGAAAGGUACCAAACAUUCGCUGUGCACGAACAUGCUGCAGUAGCCCUAAAGGAGAGAAUUGUUGCGUCGCAACAUAACAAAACAACGAGGUGUGGAUGUGGCAGUAUCUAUGUGCUUGCUUACAUUGUCUUCUGUUGCAGACCAAAUAAAUUUACUAUAUGCUGAGAAUAAUUUGAGGAAUAUUGGAGCAUCGUUCUGCAACAUGCAGAAGUUCUUCACUCUUCUUCUACCAUUCUGAAUGAGAGGCUCUAUCAUUUGUAAUUUUACCUUUUUGUUAUCGAAGAAUUUACCCGCGUAGUAAUGAAUACCUAAUGCGACUUUUUGUUA
This is a long non-coding RNA of Populus trichocarpa (black cottonwood), 528 nucleotides long. RefSeq lists it as uncharacterized. The transcript has 2 exons. NCBI's taxonomy places the organism in Eukaryota, Viridiplantae, Streptophyta, Magnoliopsida, Malpighiales, Salicaceae. The record is from RefSeq and is a predicted model, not a curated record.